RNAcentral lists this long non-coding RNA (213 nucleotides) under Trifolium pratense (red clover). RNAcentral describes it as "long non-coding RNA (TPRA_LNC013459)". The record is from RNAcentral. Lineage: Eukaryota; Viridiplantae; Streptophyta; Magnoliopsida; Fabales; Fabaceae.
AAAACCAUUCAUGCAUUUCCACCUAACAACUUAAGCUUUUGGGAAUGGUUCUUGAACAUGUUGUCGCUUGGCAGAAACUCAGUUAGAAAGAGAAAGCACAACAAGAAAACCACACAAAAUUGUAAGUAGCGACUAUCAAGGUUUUAAAUUGUGGUAUGGAUCCGCAAUUGCGUGAUUUUCAUUCACGUGUAUAGCCAUAUCAGACGAUUUCGG